RNAcentral lists this ribosomal RNA (497 nucleotides) under uncultured bacterium. RNAcentral describes it as "partial 16S ribosomal RNA". It matches the Rfam family "Bacterial small subunit ribosomal RNA", at positions 28 to 507 of the family's 1533-position model. The record is from RNAcentral.
GAUGAACGCUGGCGGCGUGCCUAAUACAUGCAAGUCGAGCGAACGGACGAGAAGCUUGCUUUUCUGAUGUUAGCGGCGGACGGGUGAGUAACACGUGGAUAACCUACCUAUAAGACUGGGAUAACUUUGGGAAACCGGAGCUAAUACCGGAUAAUAUUUUGAACCGCAUGGUUCAAAAGUGAAAGACGGUCUUGCUGUCACUUAUAGAUGGAUCCGCGCUGCAUUAGCUAGUUGGUAAGGUAACGGCUUACCAAGGCAACGAGGCAUAGCCGACCCGAGAGGGUGAUCGGCCACACGGGAUGUGAGGCACGGUCCCGACACCUGCGGUAGGCAGCAGUCGAGAAUCUUCCGCGAUGGGGGAAAGCCGGACGGAGCAACACCGCGUGAGUGAUGAAGGUCUUCGGAUGGUAGAACUCUGUUAUUAGGGAAGAACAUAUGUGUAAGUAGCUGUGAAGAUCUUGACGGUACCUGAACAGAAAGCCACGGCUAACUACGUG